This is a non-coding RNA of Taeniopygia guttata (zebra finch), 6535 nucleotides long. The record is from RefSeq and is a predicted model, not a curated record. Lineage: Eukaryota; Metazoa; Chordata; Aves; Passeriformes; Estrildidae.
UUGCAAAUAAUUGCAUGCUUGUGUAUAAUUUUUAUCCAUGGGAAAAAAGUAAAUUCACUUCACCAGAUGAAAGCACUCGUUGAAUCCACAUGGAUUCCACAUGGAUGCUAUGCUGUGUUCUAUUCACAUUGCUCAGUUUGCUGGCCCAAGAUUUAUUUAGUGUACACUAUACCAGCUCUAUUAUUCAAGCUUCAGAAUAUUCAAGCUUACUAAUUUCCAUAUUGACAUUUCUGUGACAUUGUUCAGUACACUGAGUGCUCCAGAAAUAUGAAUUAAUUAUUUUCUCAACAUCCUUCUGCUUCUAAUAUUUGACUAGUUGAAAGUACAUUAAUGUUUCUUUUUCUGUGUAUUCCUGUGUAUAUUUUCAAGUUUCCUAACACAACCUUUAAAAAUCAAGUGUUUUUUAGCAAAAGUUCAUUUCUCCCGUAAAAAAUAAAAUUACUAUUUGAUCUCUCCCUGUCUCUUUUAAUAGACAUGAGAACAAAAAGAGAUGACAGUGUACCUUGCAGGCUUAUUCAAUGUAUUGAUCUGUGUGACAGUGUGACAUGUCAACUUUUCUAUAUCUUAAGUAUUCUAGUACAUGCUCCUAUCUUAUAAAAUUCACAUACUUAAGACAUUGCAUUGUCAAAUUCAUUAUCAGUUUAUUUAUUGAAAGUUGAUUUUUAUGGAAAGUUAAAUUUAAAUGCUAGUCCAGGAGUAGGAAUGCUAUUAAUUUGAGAAACUGGAUAUUGACAGAGUGGCUGAAAUUUAUAUUCAGAAACUAGAGUAACAAAAAAUAAAAAUUUUUAAAAAGUUUAAAAAAGUUAUUUUGAACACUGAAAUAUUUCAGGAGCACAGCGAAUUAGUGGGACAGUAAGAAAAUCCAGUAAUUGGAAUUUUUUGGUUGAACUCAGAAUCACUGCAGAUUCCUGCAGUGCAGGUAUUUAAAUUUGGUCAUCCAAACCAAAAGGGCCUUUGAAAACCAAGCAAAAGGUUCCUGUUGCUUACACAAUUCAGUUUUCAUAAGCGAGAGUUAUGAAGGGGUCACUUAUAUAUUCUUGAUUCAUCACUGCAGCCUGUAGAGCAAUAGGGGAAAAGUAAGUACUAAUUCUCUGAUUCCCCGGCCUGGGGUCAAAUCUCAAAAGUAGAAAUAAGUGAGAUUAUAAUGUCCAAUAGAACUAAUUGUGGACAAAACAACAAACGGGAGUUAUUAACCUUGCCCACAGUGUCUCAGAUGAUUCUAGAAGUCUUACUAUUUUCAGAGAGCAAGAAUGUUCUUGAGCAUAUCCAGUUUCAUCACAAUUUCUUUGUGAAGCACAGAGAACAACAGAGGAAAUUAUGAUCUCAUGACUUGCAAGGCCAAGCCAUUGAAAUUAUAGCCUUGUGAGAAAGAAUGUAAAUCAGAAAGAAUAUUUAAUCUUGGGGGUUUUUGGUUUUUUUAAAAGCUUCCAUAGUAGAGUAGUAUGCUCUUUACCAUUUAGAAUGACUGCUAGCUGAGAAAUGCGCACUAACCAUUUAUGAAUGAUACAGCUGCAAGACAUUAUCACAAAAACAAAAGAACAUUUUAUUGCCUAAUAACAUUCCUCAACACUAAUUCAUCUGCGAACAGAUCACUACCAAUAGUAGCAGCAAUGAAAAGGCUUCUAGCUGAAAGAUCUAAGUUGCAUAAUAUGUGAAAGCUGUGUUGCUUUUAUAACAAUUUAAUCUCAAGCCUUAUCUGUAUACCUGUUAGAGACCCCCCACCCCAAUAAUUGCUUAAUGCCCUAUAUGCAUGAUACACAACUGGAUACAUAUUUUCAUGGCAGAUUUUGCAAAAAUGUAUUUUGGUUUUAUAAACAUUCUGAAGUAAGACAGAAUGCAAUGAUCUGAUUGCUGGAAGACAAAAAAUUCCAUGUUAGUUCAAGAGCUGUUUUAUUGAGCUCUGUUCAGUUUUUUCAAAGCAUUCAGAAGUUUCAUUAUGAGAUUACACCAGGCACCCCUAGCUCCAGGACCAUAGCACUGAAAAUGGGAUGCCCAUCACCUGCUGCUUUCCACAUUUUCAAGGCUAUCCAAACCACUAUCCAAUCACUAUCUAAUCCUGCUCGCCAAAGAAACUGUUUACAGCUAUUUCAAAAGUUAGUGUAGCUUUGUGUGUAUGUGGUUUGUAGUAUUCACAUCUUACUAGGCUACUUAAGCUGCUCUCUCCCAUCCCCUGUCCCUUUUUUGCUAUGAAAAGCUGGAAAUUAACUAUAGUGACUUUCCUUUCAGCUCACUUCAGUCAGAAUGCCUAAAAAUCAUCAGUGAUGGUAUUUCAGGCUAUAUUCCUGUGUGUAGCUUUACAACUUAGUGUAACUUGCCUCAGGAAAGCGUGACACACAAAGCCACCCUGUCCCUGCAUGGCAGAGCUGGCACGUCACACACUGACACACAUGAUGCAUCUGAUUUAAUUGACAUUUGGACCUGAAACUCCUGAUGGAGCCAGGAAAAGCCUUGAUUCUGGGAAGUGUGCUUCCUCCUCGAUGCAAACAGAUCUCAGAUCUUAGAGAUCACACGCGAUUACCCUGCAGUCCUUGACUCUGAAUCUCCAAAUAACAUUGUGGAGCUUGUGAAGAAAAAUAAAGUGAUUGAACCCACAGAGGUGGUUGGUAUUCCCUAUAGGCAUAAUCUCUCACCUUUAUUGUUCACAGGCAAGAGGUCUCUUCAUUUAUAUGAGAGAUGUUUUAAGCUCUCUCUUUAACAUCAGUGAUUGCUAGUGCUGGUCUGGAGGAGGGUGGGGAAUAUUCCUAGGCAACACACCCUCUCCUUGGAAGAAGGCUCUGAAGAGAUGGGCACAGGUGUUUAUAAAGCUUGUGUUAUGAGCUAUUUAGAGUGAUAAUCAGAUUAUAUUAACAACAGAAGGAAGGUGUAACGUAUACUGCAGUAAUGCUAAACUGCAUUGCAAGCUGUGGACAUUGAGAAGCUGAUACUUUGUCUUUCCCCCAUUAUUGAAUGACAGCUACAAUGUAAGAUUGCCGGACACAGUGAGUCAUAAAAAGAGCAUCUGUCAGCAUGAUUUUCAGCUCUUUCCCAUUUCCUGUAAUAAGCAGAAGCAGUAUUUUGGAAAUUUCUCUUUUCUUUUGAGUUGGUAGAUAUUUUUUCUUAGAUCGUUACAGUUUCACCUUCAUUUCCCUCAUGCUGUUGCUGGUUUCAUUUUUUUUCAUUAUGACCAAAUCAUUGAGUCACUUACCAAUUUCAGUCUUGCAGGGAUACUGGUAUUUUAGAUUCUGGUGAUGAAAAGGUAUUUCACCCUUAAUAUCCAGAUCACUGGGUUUUUUGGCUGAAUUAAUGGAAACAGAAGUAGAUGAAUGUGAGAAAGCACAAGCAGGAAGGCAGAAAGUUAACAGCAGUAAGUUAACACCCCUUCUAGCAUCCAUUUCAGGCAGUAUGCUAUCCAUAUUAUCUUCCCACUCCUUUUGCUUUGCUUUGACACAGAUCGUGACCAUCAAGUAGUAUAUAAGGCAUAUGCUGUUGUUUUUAAGCAUAAGCAUAUGGACAGUUAUGUAACCUUAUUUAGUGCUAGUUUGGUUUUUUUUGGCCAAAUUCCUCUGAACUUCUGCUGUCCUAUUUUUAGUGUAUGGUGGGGAGGCAUGUAACAAAAGAAGCUCAAAUACAUUCUUAUUUAUACAUUUUAAUUUGUGGAAAAUACAAAUUAUUAUUGUACUAUACUAAUAACCAGUUUUGGAUUAUAUGAAUUAAUCAGCUUUUUUACUUAACGGUGAAGUGAAAUUAGCUAGUGUGCUUAUUGAAUUACUUGGUCAGCAAGUAAGUGCUAUCCACUCGAGAAGAGGUUAGACUAAGUUUAAAAAUGCUUGAACUGUCCUUCAGUAGGGGUGAUGUUAUAACAGCCAUGAAAAGAGCCAUGUUCACUAUUAUAAAAUCACAGAAUUAUUUUAUUUGUCUUCUGGUCCAAGUUGCAUUUUGAGAGGAAGAAUAUCUUCCACUAUAGGAAAGUCAGGAAUAAAAUUCAUGAAUAUAUAAGCCAAUUUCAUAAUUUCUCAAGCUUUUUACUGACGUUUUUCACCCACAAUCUGCAAAACAAGUGGUUUGUUAGCCAAAAAGGCACUGAGCCUUUUUUUUUUUUUUUUUAACUACUAAUCAUGUUCAAACUGAAUCUUUUUAUGAAGAGGUAAUUAUUUUCAUAACACCAGAUAUGCUGAUUAAUUAUUUCAGUGUGAAUCUUAUCAUCUGAAAUUAUAUGACCCUAACAAGAAAACUUUUCUCUGCACAAAUAAGAUCGCAGUGAAGUAAAGUAUAGAAUACUCUUAUAUAGAAAUAGACUAAAAGUGAAUUGUUAGUAUAUUGUAUUUGAAUAAAGUAACAUUUUGGUAGUCAUUAAGAGAAAAGGAAGUGUUUAAUUAAUUUAUUUGCUGUUAUUUUCUUAUGUAAAAGUGACUAGCAAUUAUGUCUUUGAAUAAAAUUUGGUUUUCUCUCUGACCAGUGCUGAGAGAGCUGGCGCACCCUGUUUUUUAAGAAAACUAAUGUAGCUUUUGACAGAAGCACUAAGUGAUGAGUUGGCACAUGGCAGACAAAGGACAAACUGUUCAGUUGUGGCCCUAAAUUUAUUUUAGUUCACCAAGUAAACAGGGACACAGCAUGGACUUUGCUGAUUAAAAGCAAAAUUAAAAAGCCUGAAGCUGCAUUUGACAGUGUUCCAAUUUGUAACCAGCUCAACACAUGGGAUUCUGUUUCCUUUUACUUUGUGGCUUCCGGGAUCCCUAUGCAGAAUAUUACUGUUUCAUUGUGCAUUUGUGUUAUUUUCUUCCCUCUAGGAUAAUUAAUUUCUUCCUCUCGGUUUCCUACAGAGACUUAAUACCCCUCUGCCCAAAAAUGCAAAAUAUUUGUAGCUUACCAUAUUGUUCUUUGUUUCACUGCUCCUGCCUUUACCAUCUAGAAGGACCUACCUCUUCCAGCCUUUGCUUGGGUGAGUGUUCUUAGUGUGAGGGAUCAGAGUCAGUGGAACUAUGCAUGUGUGAUGAGUAAUCCCACAGGUAAGGAUUUCCAGGAGGGGCUUCCAGGCAAGUGUUUUGCAUAUCUUCACAUUUUCUUUGCUAUUUUUAUCUCAUACAUACCCUUGUGUAUCUCUUCUUUGUGUCUUGUCUGAAUGGGCUAAAAAGCAGCAUUGGUCUGUAUUGCAGGAGGCAACACAAAGUUAAUUAAUUUCUGAUCAUUGACUUCAUCUACCUCAAGAAGUACCUUUUAAAAUGUAAAUACUGCUAUUAAAAGCAAUACAAAUCUGUUACAACAAUAAGUUUGCUUACAAUGUAUCACUGUUUUUUAUACUUAUAUUAGUACAAGGUCUUGAAGGAGAAUUUGGAAGUGGGAAUUUCCUUGCCAUUAAUUAUUUGUCAAAUUACUAGAGUCUUAGCCAUUAAUAGCUUGAGGUUUUAAAAUUUUUAUGUUGUAUAUUUUCCCAGAAUUAAAAAUAUACAAAGUUUCAAAUGUGCUAGGCUUUGAACAUCUGUUUCUAGAACAACCAUGUCUUUCUUUGGUUUUGAAAGAAGGCUUAUAUCUCUAUGUGGCAACAGCAUUGGACUUCAGAUAACAAAGUGUUGAAAAAUGCCCAGCUGAAAUUCCCAGUAUUAGGUGAAGUGGCCAAAUACAAUGGGUUGGAUUCAUCCCUGUAAUAUCACUGACUCCUCAACAAGAGGUGUCUGUUGUAUUAGCUGGCUAUGGGAAUUUAGAACAGAUCAAGAUGAACACUGGCUAACAGAGGUCAGAAGAACAAUCAUCCUCUGAAGUUUUGCCAUUGAUUAUGACUGAGUAGAAGUUUUUGUCUGUGAAAAAGAAGACCACAGGUUAACCCCUGAGUGUAGUAGUGAAGUCUGGUAUUUUCUGAGUCAGCAAGAUAUGUUCAUUUGACACUAACUUACCUAUCAACUUUCUUCAUGUUGUUUAGAAGAAAAUUGUUAAUAGUAUUUUCUACUCCUUUGAAACAGAAGUUAGUUCUGGAACGGCAGAACUGACCUUUUACCAUCCAAGAUGACUUUAGCUUCAGAUUCAGAAGCAUCAGAGUGGGCUAGAUCCCUUUUAAAACAAAUUUUCUUAUGAUUUCUUACGAUUAUGAAAACAGGAUUUCUUACGAUAAGUGGGAAGCUGCAAACACCAAGAUCUUGUCUAAGCAGUAGGUGGCAGACUGCUCCCAGUAAUCCUUAGGAAGCUGUGACUCAGCCCUUCUUAAUGCUCACGGGGCUGCAGUUAAAGGUGAUGAGAAGAGUUGUAAAGGUGGGGAGACUCCUAAGGUUCAAGCAGUCUGCCUAAUUUCACAGAGCAUGCCGGGGAUACUCAAGUCAGCACUUGCCAGGCGACGGGAUGUUGCUCCCACACGCCUUGUGUUAUCAGUUCCUAGAGUAACUGUGGCUGUUACCCUGCCCUGCAGCAGCUGGGUGACCUCGAUCUUGUUUUGGAGGAUUUGCUGCUGUUGACAGAAAGCCAGCGCUGUCAUGGCUUUGACACCUCUACACAGCAGUAUGCCUGUAGAUUUGUCACUAUUUGGAAAUCCCUUUAAACUCCCAAGACCCCAAGGAGUUUUUUAACCAAA